This 4587-nucleotide long non-coding RNA is filed under the name Panax ginseng (ginseng). Its description in RNAcentral is "long non-coding RNA (PGIN_LNC018747)". Lineage: Eukaryota; Viridiplantae; Streptophyta; Magnoliopsida; Apiales; Araliaceae. The record is from RNAcentral.
UCAAAUAAUGUUCGGAAGAAAAAAAAUCCUUUGUUGUAAGUCGCCAUAUGUGCUUAAAAAUAUAUAAGCUUUUCCCUAGGCAAAUAAUACCAUAAUAUCUAUUACAAAUGAAGCACCAUGUUGUGUUCAACACAAAAAGAAAAAACAUAAAGUUUGUCAUCUUCAUCAAGUUGAACUUAAUUUUAACAGAACUUGUCAGCAUCUUGAUCCUUAAAUUGAUGCCCAUGUUGUUGAGCCUACAAAAAGAACAAAAGAAAAUGUAUUAAAUUAUUAAAAAUCAACGUGCUUAAAAUUGACAUAGUUAAAUAUACAAUGUAGUAACAAUACUUGUAGCAGAUCCAAAUGAUUCAAGUUGGAUAUAUGAUGUUGUUGUGUUCCAUAAACACUAAGCUGGUCAGUAUUUGGUACUUAACAUCCACUUCCCCAAAAUUAAUUUGGAUGACCCUACAAAUACAAAAUUCAUUAAAAAAAGGUUAAAUUUUAAACUAUUAACAAGUAUAACAUUGAAUAAAAGUUAAGGAAAAACUAGUAGUCGGCGUAUAUUGCUUUCCGAAGUACCAAAAUAUAUUGAGUUAAUAUUAGUUACCAUAAUUUGAUAAGUAUAGAAUAAAUUAUAAAUGAUAAAUUAUACCUGCAUUUGGCUUCUAUCAAAUAAAGGAGUGCCAAAAUAUGACAUCAUAUAUCCACCACUCGAACCUUGACUCGAAUAACACUGUGCAAUUGAAAUAAAUCUAAAAAAUUACAUAUCAAGCAAAAGAGAAAAAAUUAUGCAAAAACCAAGGGACUAGGAGGGUAAAAAAAUUGAAUAUUAAAAAAUAUUUUAGUCAAAAGGGAGAUAAAUAAAACCUGCAUUUGGUAAACUAUACCUGCAUUUGAUUUCCAGGAAAUAAAGGAGAGCCAAAAUGUGGCAUCAUAUAUCCAUCACUAGAACCUUGACUCAGAUGACACUGUGCAGUUGAAAAUAAAUCUAAAAAGUUAAAUUUGUACCCUAACCAAAAUAAGUUGAGUAACUUUUUUUGAUAGAUAAUUAUAAUAUAAGUAGAGUAACUUUUUUGAUAGAUAAUUAUAAUAAGUAGAGUAAACUCGAUUUUAAGUAUUCUGGUUCUGAUUUUGCAGGGCCAUUUGUGUUGUAUUUUGGUUAUGGAUUAUUAGAUGCUAUGUUCCAGAGCAUGGUUUAUUGGGUUAUUGGGGCUUUGGCUGAUGAUUCUGCUAUCCUUAGCACAGGUAAAUUUUCAUGUUAUUGAAUAAUAAGGCCAUUCACUUAUUGUUUUAUUUUUACUGUGUUUAACAUUUUUUUGGGGCAUAUAUGCUUCAGGUAUAAUGGAUUCUACAAGGGAGUGCAGAAUGCAGUGAGUUUUUUUUACUUAACAGAGAAUUUAUAUUUUUGAAACUUGUAUUUUCAAUUCAAAUGUAAAUGUAGUCUUUCUUUAGUAUAUCAAUGGAUGAUUGAGAACUAAAAUUAAGAACUAAAAUUAGAUAGAUAAUUAGAUUAAUAAAAUGCAAUAGUGAAGAUUAUUUACACAGUAGAUUAAAAUCUCAAACAAUUAAUCUCAUAAGUUUUUGUUAUUCUUAAUACCUGAACAUUACUUCUCUCUUGUGUUCCCAUUUCAUGAUCUUGAGUAGUACUUAAAGUAGGCAAACCAAUUUCACCUGCAUCGACUUCAAUUUCUUGUGCCACUUGAGAAUUCUUUCAUUAAAAAGAAAUUGAUGAAUUAGACAAAUUAUUCAGAUAAAAAAAUAUACAUAAUAAAACAAAGAAACUAAUAAAAUAGGUUAUUAGCUAAAAUUAAAUAGGCAAGUACCUGUUUUCCUUUUCCUUUUUUUUUGCUAGUUUUGUUCCCUUCCUGUCUCUUUCUUAUUUUCAAUUUCCUAAUCACUUGAUCUGUUUUAGAUUCCUUUCGUUUUGACACUGGUCGCCCUUUACUUCGAGUUACUAAAGGACUAAGCACCUGAAUACAUUCCUUUGAUGUCCCAUUAAUUACUUCAUUAGCUAUUGUCACUGUACCCGGUGUGUGAUGAGAUGUUUGACCACUUUCACUACUUGACACAUUUAGACUCAACUUUUCCUUCAGCUUAUCUAAAACUGUCAUCACAGUCAUACAACUUUCUUCAGUUUUUGAUGCCAUUGAUGCAACUUCAUAAAAAGAAGUUUGUAAUUUAUCAUAACGUUGUGCUUCAGGAUUUCCACUCAAUUCAUCGUAAAUACAUUUAAUAAAUGUAUAUCUUCGUUUCGAGUCCUUACUCCACCGUGGAAGAAUAUAUUUUGAUGGCAAUAUUUUAAUUUUCUUUAUCAUCAUGAGCACAGAAAAGGCAUGCCUGCAGAGGAUUCCUCUAAAUUCAAAUAAGCAACAAUUGCAUUGUACCUCCCAUUCAUCUUCAUUAAAGUAAACAUGGAAGAUUACUUCCUUUGUAUCAGCAUCAAUUUCUAUCUCGUCAACAACUUGAUAUGUAGAAAUUGCAUCUUCUUGUUUAAGAAGAGAAGGAUGACAAUACAUUUUCCUCCUAAUCUCAUCUUGAACCUCCUUGAACUUUGAAUUGGUAUAACUAUCCUGAAAUUGCUUCUCAAUAGCAUAAUGAGUUAUGCAUGGAACUCUUGAAGUUAGAGAAAUAAAAUCUUCUGUGUUCUCCUUUUCAACCUUACUUUUCAAGGCCUCAUCAUAUUGAUCAACAAAUUGCUUCAAUGUAGUCUUUGGCCCCACAUAACCAUCAAAAAAGGCAUUCAUACUUUCACUACGUUGUGUAGUAGACAUUCCCGCCCAAAAUAUAUUUUUCACAUAUGUUGGUAUCCAAUGAUGUCGUUCAUAAUACAACCAUUGCAACCAUUCAUUAUCUUGAAGAUUAUGCACCUUAAGUAAUCUUUGCCAACUAUCUUCAAAUUCAUCACGACUCAAGGAGUCAUAUACACAACGGUCUAUAUCCCUCUUAAUUGCCUCAUAUUGAGAAUAUCCUUUAAAUUUCUCAGGAAUUUUCUUCAUUAUAUGCCAUAAACAAAACCUAUGUUUAGUUUCAGGGAAUACUAUUUCAAUUGCUCUCUUCAUAGCUUGGUCUUGAUCAGUUAUAAUUGCUUUUGGAGCUCGACCUGACAUACACUUCAUCCAUGAUUCAAACAACCAAACAAAAGUAUCAACAUUCUCGUUUGAUAUUAGACCACACCCAAGAAGUAUUGAUUGACCAUGAUGAUUCACUCCUACAAAUGGAGCAAAUGGCAUUUUAAAUAGAUUUGUCAAGUAUGUUGUGUCAAAUGUUAUAACAUCCCCAAAAUAUUCACAUGUGGCUCUACUUCUUGCAUCCGCCCAAAACACAUUCCUCAAUCGAGAGCUAUCAUCCACAUCCAUUACAUAAUAAAACCGGUCAUCCUUCUCUUGCAUUCUAACAAAAUAGUCACGAAGUGCUUUAGCACCUCCCACCCCAAGUCGAAGCCGCCUUGCUUUGUCAACAUGAUUUCUACAGUCUUUCUCUCCAAAUGAAAGCUUCUCAAAUCCUCCUGCUUCAAUAACAAUAGAUUUAUAAUUUUUACUGAUACGAAUUCCAGCUUUAUCAUUUAACUCAAGCCUUCUUUUCACAUAAGAGUCCAUCUGCUUAUGACAUCUAAAAUAUCUAGCUUUUCCAGGACUCAAAGUAUGGACAUGGUCAAGCACAACAGUAGUCAAUGUAAACUUUCCAUCAGGACAACAAAUAGCAUUAAUCUUGGCCUUGCACCCAAGAUUUUUUUUUGGUCUCGGUUUAAGAGCAUUAGUUGCCUUACUCAUUGCCUUGCCUUGAUUAACACAUGAAAGAGUGAAAUAUUUUAAAUUCCCAUCAUGUCCAAGUUUAGAGGUUCUCUUUGACACACCAAAACCUGAUUGUUUAGCAUAUUGCGUAUAAUAUGCUCUAACUUCUUCCUCUGAAUUAAACAUCAUCCCAACCUUUGGUUCUAAAACAAUUUGAUUUGCAUCUAAAAUCUUGUUGAUCUCAUGCUUCUUUUCUUUAAUCUUUUCAAUCUCUAACUUUUGCUCAUUUUCUUCCUCAUCAUGGACAAUUUCUUCAUCUGAAGACAUGUAGUCUUCAUUGUCUGACAAUCACAUGAUUGUUUCUAUUAGAAACACUAUCCAAUUAUUUAGUUAAAAAUACAAAAGUUUAAACCAUUCAAAAGUCAAGCAUACAAAACUUAAAGAAUAAAAUUAUCAUAUGGGAUUGCAACACUGUAGUCGAGCAUAAAAUAAUACAAUAAAAUUAAAAAAUUUAGUCAUAUAAACUUUAAAAAUUAUCUUGUUGGCAUGUUUGACUACGGAUUUUAUUCUUAUCUAAAGCAGGCAUGUCUCUGUUAUCUAAAGUAGAUGAGGAAUUACCAAACAUAGAAGAAUUAGAAGCAUCAGAUACCGCAGUGGGAGCAACAUUCUCAUCAGAUGGGAUUGCAACACCGUUCUCAGCCAUGGCCAACGGCGUCAAGCAAAUUCUUCACAAACAUUUAAACAAACACAUUACAAGCAUAAGUUCACAUUGACAGAGUUAAUAAAGAUUAUCUAUUGCAAUAACCCUAAAACUCAUCACAGGUACACCCAAUUCAGCAAACAAAGCAAUCACUAGAGUAUUCAUUGACAUUGAAAC